This is a non-coding RNA of Pelobates cultripes (western spadefoot toad), 309 nucleotides long. Lineage: Eukaryota; Metazoa; Chordata; Amphibia; Anura; Pelobatidae. The record is from the annotation of a GenBank genome assembly.
AGACAGAGACAGAGACAGAGACAGAGACAGACAGAGACAGAGACAGAGACAGAGACAGAGACAGAGACAGAGACAGAGACAGAGACAGAGACAGAGACAGAGACAGAGACAGAGACAGAGACAGAGACAGAGACAGAGACAGACAGAGACAGAGACAGAGACAGAGACAGAGACAGAGACAGAGACAGAGACAGAGACAGAGACAGAGACAGAGACAGAGACAGAGACAGAGACAGAGAGAGAGAGAGACAGAGAGAGAGAGAGACAGAGAGAGAGAGAGACAGAGAGAGAGAGAGAGAGAGAGAGAGA